This is a long non-coding RNA of Herpailurus yagouaroundi (jaguarundi), 396 nucleotides long. RefSeq lists it as uncharacterized. The record is from RefSeq and is a predicted model, not a curated record. The transcript has 3 exons. Lineage: Eukaryota; Metazoa; Chordata; Mammalia; Carnivora; Felidae.
UGCAGAAAAGGUGGGGCGAGGGGAUGGGCAAAAUGGGUGAAGGUGAGUGGGAGGUGCAGGCUUCCAGUUAAGGAAUAAAUAAGUCACGGAGAUGAAAGUUGCAGCAGAGGGAAUAUAGUCGACGAUAUCAUAAUAACGCUGUAUGGUGACAGAUGGCGGCUACACUUAUGGUGAGCACAGCAUGACAUCUAAACUUGUUGUAUCACUAUGCUGUAUACCUGCAACUAAUACAAUGUUGUGUGUCAACUACACUUAAAUUUUUAAAAAAAUGUUUUAAUCAAUCUAAACGAAAGCAGAAAAAGAAGAACAAAGAGCAUAUGAGACAAAUAGCAAAUAGUAAGAUAGUAAAUGUAAAUCAGAGUACAUUAACAAUCACAUUGAGUGUAAAUAAUCUAA